RNAcentral lists this ribosomal RNA (545 nucleotides) under Pagurus minutus. RNAcentral's name for it is "partial small subunit ribosomal RNA". It matches the Rfam family "Bacterial large subunit ribosomal RNA", at positions 1831 to 2625 of the family's 2925-position model. Lineage: Eukaryota; Metazoa; Arthropoda; Malacostraca; Decapoda; Paguridae. The record is from RNAcentral.
GUCUAUAUGAAGGUAUAUAUAGUUUGGCCUGCUCACUGAUUAUAUUAAAGAGCCGCAGUAUUUUGACUGUGCGAAGGUAGCAUAAUAAAUUGUCUUUUAAAUGGAGGCUUGAAUGAAAGGUUGGACAAAGUAUCAUCUGUUUCUUAAAUAUUUAUUGAAUUUGACUUUCAAGUGAAAAGGCUUGAAUAAAUUAAAAAGACGAUAAGACCCUAUAAAUCUUUACAAUAAACAUAUUUUAUAUUUUUAUUUAUUAAGUGAAUGAGAUAUUAAAUUUGUAGUUGUUUCGCUGGGGCGGCGUAGAUAUAUAAAUGAACUGUCUAUAAUUUUAAAUACAAUAAUUAUUGAUUAAUGAAAUUGAUCCUUAAAUAGAUUAAAAGAUUAAGAUACUUUAGGGAUAACAGCGUUAUUUUUUCUGAGAGUUCUUAUCGAAGAAAAAGUUUGCGACCUCGAUGUUGAAUUAAAGUAUCUUUAUGGUGCAGUCGCUAUAAGAGAGAGUCUGUUCGACUUUUAAUACUUUACAUGAUUUGAGUUCAGACCGGCGUGAG